Molecule: long non-coding RNA, 3256 nt
Filed under: Sus scrofa (pig)
Lineage: Eukaryota; Metazoa; Chordata; Mammalia; Artiodactyla; Suidae
Description: lncRNA (ENSSSCG00045036877.1)
Source: RNAcentral
GGGGCGGAGAGCAAGCGCCCGUCUAAAGGAGCCUGUUUUCUGUUUUAAAACAGCCAGAGGCGACAAUGUUUGCUGCACACGCUUUGCCCCAAAUGGUUGCCAGGUGUGGGAUGAGGAGACGGCAGGAGCCGCCGUGUUCGUGGUGACCGUGCUUUCCGUCGCCUCGUGCAGGGCCAGACGCCUGGACCCGAAGUAAAACCCCCAACACAUGGAAGAUGUUAAUGAAGCAUUUUUUUAUUCUGGAAAGAAGACCACCAGACCACUGAGCACCAGCUUUGAAAACAACAUAAGCUUCCUCUGCCCUGGUCCUUAUCUGUGGCCGUUUUUUUCACUCCUCAAACUAUAAAACCACCUCCCAAGCUCCCCUAAGGGGGGCACCGUCUUUGAGGCAUUAGCCUGCGGUGACCCUCCUUUGCCUGGCAAAGCAAUAAAGCUAUUUUCUUCUCUUUUGCCCAACACUCCGUCUCCAUGUCUCUAUUUGGCACUGGUGGGCAGAGGCCGCAUCCUGGCAACAGUCUCUUUCAAGAAAAGGUUCAAAUCUAGAAGUGAAGAGAGCCAUGAAAAAAUUGUUCUCGUACAGUUUUUAAAGGUCAUUUUGAAAACAUGUUUCAUUUUCUGCCUCAGUGCAGACGCGGGCUUUUCUCUACUCAGUAAGAUCUUUGGCUUAGUUUUAUCAUCGCCAGAAAUAGGAUCUGCGUUCAGGAAAAAUGAAGAUCUGCUGACCCCCAGUUUGUUGUGACGGAAUGAACUCAAAUCUUCAACAGGAACGCAAAUAAAAUGAAUGUUAUUAAUGAAAAACGAGCCUAAAGAGAAUACGUAUGUUUUAUUUCAUAUCUGAGCUGAAAAGAUGACACAUAUCAUAUCAGACAUUCAUUAAGAUCCAGAAAUUUAUUUUAUUGAGCUAUAUUUUAAAUUAUCCUCUUGUCCGCUCCUGAGGGAUCUAGUGUAAGAAACUUUUAUUUCUUUUUGUUUCCAUCACUCUGAGAUCUAUCCUGUGUUAAAACACAGUACGUUGCUAAGAGCAACCUGUGGUCUUGACUUGAGCCAUCCCGGCUUUGCUCUCUCAUUGAAGUUGAAUGCAAUUCUACGGCUCAAUAUGAAUCAGAUGGGAUCUAAAAGUAGACCUGAAACUUCUCCAGAUGGUCAUGUGGAGCUCAGUGGGUGUAGUCCAUCGAGUCUCAAGAUUCUUCCUCACGACUUGUAUCUUCUGGAGAAACUACGUAUCAAAAACCUCAUGAAAAAUAAAAUAUUACCUGCCAUAUCAGUAAACAAGAAUGUCAGUGAUUUCAGCCACCUCAGACAGUGAGCAGAGCCGGUGAGCCCUGAGGGAACUCAGAAAGGAGACAAUACCUGCCAUCUAGCAGCCAUCAGACUCUAGCCACUCCGGAGGGUGAGCCCUGAGGAAAACUGGACGCAAGAACACAGGAUACUGGCCCUAGACAGCUGAGGUGCCUAUCAAAGGAACAAUUGCAGGGAGCCCAGCCUUUGCAUCUUCCUACACUAGAAAAGCUCUAAAAUCCUUGAGCUACCUGCCUUCUUUGAAUAGCAGUAAUCUUUUGCUCUUACUACUUGCCCUUGGUUGCAAAAUUCCUAUACAUCCUAGCUCCCCACUCAUUCAUAUGAGCAGGUUUUCUCAGGGUUACUUGAGAUGCUGCCUCUUGGGCUUAAGUCCUCAUCUCUCCCAGAAUAAAACUUAACGCUCAACUUUUAGGUUACACAUGUAUUUUUUUUUUAGUUGACACUCUCAAUGAGCUAUGUAUGUGUUAUUUGUGACAUAAAUUAUAACACAAUAAUAAUAAAUUAUAAGUUAAAUUCGAAGUGAAGAAUAACUGUUCAGUCAAGUUUAUUCAUUUAGAACGUAGCAUAUUUGGCAUUAAGCUAAAAUGCUAUUGAUAAAUAAAUAAAUAUCAUUAAUAUUUUCAUGGGAUAUUUGUUCCAGAAUUCCAGACGGAUGUUUAAUGGACUUAUACACUAAGAUAUGAACUCCUAUAUUGUGAGAAUUAGGAAGGUUCUCUGAUAAUGCAAAUGAGAGGUCUUUUGGCUGAUUUGAGGUCAAGCCUCUAACUAUCACUUAACUAGUUGAUUAACAAACAAUGUGAAUUAUCCCUUGAUUAAUAACGCACUAUGCUAGCUGUACCCCUAAUUCCACUAGUAUUGAUAACAUUGAAUACAUAAAAUAGCCCAGGUAGAUGUGAUAAAGGAUUGACUGAAGGAAAUCCAAUCCUUGCAUUCAUCUUUAUAAUUGCAAAUUUAUACUUAAAUGGGAAGAAUAACAGAGCACUUUAGACCAGAACCACAAUGAUGUCAACAUCGCAUCCUUAUAAAAUUGUCUUUGCUGAAUCUUCAUUUCUUGUUAUGCAGGACACUAUAUGAAACAACAAGAAAAGUCAAUUGUUUUUAUUACAGAAAAUGCCGUAAGUUAUGACAAUGGGCUGUAUUGGUUAGGUCUUAUGAAAAAUAAAUUCUCCCAACUCAGCAUCAUAUGCAGGACACUAUAUGAAACAACAAGAAAAGUCAAUUGUUUUUAUUACAGAAAAUGCCGUAAGUUAUGACAAUGGGCUGUAUUGGUUAGGUCUUAUGAAAAAUAAAUUCUCCCAACUCAGCAUCAGAAACAUUGAGCCUUUCCAGAACAAGUUGUUUUGGUCAAGCUUUUAUAAAACUAAUAAUUCAGAAGUCUCUCCUUUUUUGUAGACAAAAUGGUUGAAGGAAAAUUUGAAUUCACAUUGUAGCAAUUUUUAAGAAGCAUAACAUGAAUUUCUGUUUCUGUAAUCAGACAAUAUUUCCUUUUUCAUAUUUUACUUGGCCUGAUUUUCACUAAUUAUAUAUAUAUUUUUCUUCUUACUUGUAUUUUUCUGCAACCUAUGUCAAUUUAACAGUUAAGUGAGUGGCAAGGUAAAUAAAUAAACAAUAGUAAAGUAAAAAACAGAUUUGAAUUGGCGCUAAGAUGAUAUGGAGAAUUUCCUAAAUAGUUUGAUUGAAGAGAGACAAUGAUUUUAACUAGAUCAAUCCUCCUUAAAAAAAAAAAAAAGAAUAGUCUGGGACAGAAUAAUCAAAGUCUUAAACAUGACCAAAAUUCAUCUUGAAAAUGACCAGGGUCUUUUGGUUAUAACCUUUGAAAAAUUUUAAAGAAUUGUAUAACUAUGAUAUUGGAAAUAUGAAAGAAAAGUUCUGAUAUUUUCAUUCAUAAUGCAUGCAAUAUAUUUUGUUCACUUUGUAAUUAUGAGCAUGUAUCCCCACACAAUAAAAAUUGCAUCGA